Molecule: transfer RNA, 57 nt
Filed under: Aegilips sp. ZJUH 20220002
Lineage: Eukaryota; Metazoa; Arthropoda; Insecta; Hymenoptera; Figitidae
Description: tRNA-Ala
Source: RNAcentral
UGAAUAAUAGUUAAAAUUAUAACAUUUAAUUUGCAUUUAAAAAUUAUUUUUAAUUAA